Molecule: ribosomal RNA, 893 nt
Filed under: Solobacterium moorei
Lineage: Bacteria; Bacillati; Bacillota; Erysipelotrichia; Erysipelotrichales; Erysipelotrichaceae
Description: bacterial SSU rRNA
Rfam family: Bacterial small subunit ribosomal RNA (bases 1-801)
Source: RNAcentral
GAUGAACGCUGGCGGCGUGCCUAACACAUGCAAGUCGAACGAGAUGCGUAUUGGAAAGCUUCGGCCGGAAGAUGCGUUAUCUAGUGGCGGACGGGUGAGUAACACGUGGGUAACCUGCCUUAUGGAGGGGGAUAACAGAGAGAAAUCACUGCUAAUACCGCAUAAGCACACAUUGCCGCAUGGCAGAGUGUGAAAAGAUUUAUCGCCAUAAGAUGGACCCGCGUCUGAUUAGCCAGUUGGCAGGGUAAAAGCCUACCAAAGCAACGAUCAGUAGCCGAUCUGAGAGGAUGACCGGCCACAUUGGGACUGAGACACGGCCCAAACUCCUACGGGAGGCAGCAGUGGGGAAUAUUGCACAAUGGGGGAAACCCUGAUGCAGCGAUGCCGCGUGAGUGAAGAAGUAUUUCGGUAUGUAAAGCUCUAUCAGCAGGGAAGAUAAUGACAGUACCUGACUAAGAAGCCCCGGCUAACUACGUGCCAGCAGCCGCGGUAAUACGUAGGGGGCAAGCGUUAUCCGGAUUUACUGGGUGUAAAGGGAGCGUAGACGGAGUGGCAAGUCUGAAGUGAAAACCCUGGGCUUAACCUGUGGACUGCUUUGGAAACUGUUAAUCUAGAGUGUUGGAGAGGUAAGUGGAAUUCCUGGUGGUGGCGGGUGAAAUGCCGUGAUAUCAUGAAAAACACCCGGAAGCGAAUGCUGGUUACUGUACAUGAACUGACGUUGAGGCGUGGAGUCGGUGUGGAUGAAAAAUGAUGAUUACCCUGGUAGUCCGGGGCGAUUUGCCUGUGUGUGUCAGCUUAUGUGUUCCGUGACGCGGGGUGUGAGACAAGUAACUAGCGUGGUUCCCUUUUGAGGUGGGUUAACUUGCUGUUGCUGAUCCUCUUGGUGUGUGGUG